UGGGGAAUAUUGGACAAUGGGGGGAACCCUGAUCCAGCCAUGCCGCGUGUGUGAAGAAGGCCUUAUGGUUGUAAAGCACUUUAAGCGAGGAGGAGGGUACUGGUAUUAAUACUACCAGCUACUGGACGUUACUCGCAGAAUAAGCACCGGCUAACUCUGUGCCAGCAGCCGCGGUAAUACAGAGGGUGCGAGCGUUAAUCGGAUUUACUGGGCGUAAAGCGUGCGUAGGCGGCUAAUUGAGUCGGAUGUGAAAUCCCCGAGCUUAACUUGGGAAUUGCAUUCGAUACUGGUUAGCUAGAGUGUGGGAGAGGAUGGUAGAAUUCCAGGUGUAGCGGUGAAAUGCGUAGAGAUCUGGAGGAAUACCGAUGGCGAAGGCAGCCAUCUGGCCUAACACUGACGCUGAGGUACGAAAGCAGGAGGAGCAAACAGG
RNAcentral lists this ribosomal RNA (430 nucleotides) under Pseudomonadota bacterium. RNAcentral's name for it is "Proteobacteria bacterium partial 16S ribosomal RNA". It matches the Rfam family "Bacterial small subunit ribosomal RNA", at positions 355 to 776 of the family's 1533-position model. Lineage: Bacteria; Pseudomonadati; Pseudomonadota. The record is from RNAcentral.